AUUGAACGCUGGCGGAAUGCUUUACACAUGCAAGUCGAACGGCAGCACGGGGGCAGCCCUGGUGGCGAGUGGCGAACGGGUGAGUAAUACAUCGGAACGUGCCCGGUCGUGGGGGAUAACGUAGCGAAAGUUACGCUAAUACCGCAUACGAUCUGAGGAUGAAAGCGGGGGACCUUCGGGCCUCGCGCGAUCGGAGCGGCCGAUGUCAGAUUAGGUAGUUGGUGGGGUAAAGGCCUACCAAGCCGUCGAUCUGUAGCUGGUCUGAGAGGACGACCAGCCACACUGGGACUGAGACACGGCCCAGACUCCUACGGGAGGCAGCAGUGGGGAAUUUUGGACAAUGGGCGCAAGCCUGAUCCAGCCAUUCCGCGUGCAGGACGAAGGCCUUCGGGUUGUAAACUGCUUUUGUACGGAACGAAAAGGCUCUGGCUAAUACCUGGGGCUCAUGACGGUACCGUAAGAAUAAGCACCGGCUAACUACGUG
Molecule: ribosomal RNA, 484 nt
Filed under: uncultured bacterium
Lineage: Bacteria
Description: partial 16S ribosomal RNA
Rfam family: Bacterial small subunit ribosomal RNA
Source: RNAcentral